GACAAGUAAGUGUCGGUGGGGGGGGGAGUACGGAGGGUGCGGGGGGUUUGUGGAGUUAGUGGUCGGAAAGGGCUCGUAGGCGGGUUGGUGCGACGGGGGUGGAAACGCAGGGCUGAACUCUGAGCCUGCUUCCUAUACGGGCAGACUGGAGGUAUGCAGGGGAGAACGGAAUUCCUGGUGUAGCGGUGAAAUGCGCAGAUAUCAGGAGGAACACCGGUGGCGAAGGCGGUUCUCUGGGCAUUACCUGACGCUGAGGAGCGAAAGUGUGGGGAGCGAACAGGAUUAGAUACCCUUGUAGUC
Molecule: ribosomal RNA, 300 nt
Filed under: uncultured Pyrobaculum sp.
Lineage: Archaea; Thermoproteati; Thermoproteota; Thermoprotei; Thermoproteales; Thermoproteaceae
Description: partial 16S ribosomal RNA
Rfam family: Bacterial small subunit ribosomal RNA (bases 52-300)
Source: RNAcentral